RNAcentral lists this ribosomal RNA (357 nucleotides) under uncultured bacterium. RNAcentral describes it as "bacterial SSU rRNA". It matches the Rfam family "Bacterial small subunit ribosomal RNA", at positions 8 to 353 of the family's 1533-position model. The record is from RNAcentral.
AGAGUUUGAUCAUGGCUCAGGAUGAACGCUAGCUACAGGCUUAACACAUGCAAGUCGAGGGGCAGCGAUGGUCUUAGCUUGCUAAGGCCGAUGGCGACCGGCGCACGGGUGAGUAACACGUAUCCAACCUGCCGUCUACUCUUGGGACAGCCUUCUGAAAGGAAGAUUAAUACAAGACGGCAUCAUGAGUCCGCAUGUUCACAUGAUUAAAGGUAUUCCGGUAGACGAGUGGGGAUGCGUUCCAUUAGAUAGUAGGCGGGGUAACGGCCCACCUAGUCUUCGAUGGAUAGGGGUUCUGAGAGGAAGGUCCCCCACAUUGGAACUGAGACACGGUCCAAACUCCUACGGGAGGCAGCA